GUCCCUGUAGCGCAAUGGAUAGCGCGUUGGACUUUGAAUUCAAAGUUGUGGGUUUGAAUCCCACCUGGGAUG
RNAcentral lists this transfer RNA (72 nucleotides) under Trichonephila inaurata madagascariensis. It matches the Rfam family "tRNA". From Rfam's summary of the family: Transfer RNA (tRNA) molecules are approximately 80 nucleotides in length. Lineage: Eukaryota; Metazoa; Arthropoda; Arachnida; Araneae; Nephilidae. The record is from Rfam by way of RNAcentral.